RNAcentral lists this ribosomal RNA (435 nucleotides) under uncultured bacterium. RNAcentral describes it as "partial 16S ribosomal RNA". It matches the Rfam family "Bacterial small subunit ribosomal RNA", at positions 28 to 507 of the family's 1533-position model. The record is from RNAcentral.
GAUGAACGCUGGCGGUAUGCUUAACACAUGCAAGUCGAACGGACUCUUCGGAGUUAGUGGCGGACGGGUGAGUAACGCGUGAGAAUCUGGCUUUGGGUUCGGGACAACCACUGGAAACGGUGGCUAAUACCGGAUGUGCCGAGAGGUAAAAGAGAAAUUGCCUGAAGAUGAGCUCGCGUCUGAUUAGCUAGUUGGUGAGGUAAAGGCUCACCAAGGCAGCGAUCAGUAGCUGGUCUGAGAGGAUGACCAGCCACACUGGGACUGAGACACGGCCCAGACUCCUACGGGAGGCAGCAGGGGGGAAUUUUCCGCAAUGGGCGAAAGCCUGACGGUGCAAUACCGCGUGAGGGAAGAAGGCUCUUGGGUUGUAAACCUCUUUUCUUAGGGAAGAACAAAAUGACGGUACCUAAGGAAUCAGCAUCGGCUAACUCCGUG